Molecule: ribosomal RNA, 252 nt
Filed under: uncultured bacterium
Lineage: Bacteria
Description: partial 16S ribosomal RNA
Rfam family: Bacterial small subunit ribosomal RNA
Source: RNAcentral
UACGUAGGGCGCAAGCGUUGUCCGGAAUUAUUGGGCGUAAAGAGCUCGUAGGCGGUUUGUCGCGUCUGCUGUGAAAACUCGAGGCUCAACCUCGGGCUUGCAGUGGUACGGGCAGACUAGAGUGCGGUAGGGGUGACUGGAAUUCCUGGUGUAGCGGUGGAAUGCGCAGAUAUCAGGAGGAACACCGAUGGCGAAGGCAGGUCACUGGGCCGCAACUGACGCUGAGGAGCGAAAGCAUGGGGAGCGAACAGG